Molecule: RNA transcript, 2048 nt
Organism: Rhagoletis zephyria (snowberry fruit fly)
Lineage: Eukaryota; Metazoa; Arthropoda; Insecta; Diptera; Tephritidae
Gene name: putative nuclease HARBI1
Source: RefSeq, a predicted model, not a curated record
UUCCACUCAGCCAUCGAUAUGUUGAAAAAUUACCCCCAAUUUUUAACUAAAUUUUUGCAUGGGAAAUCAACAAGCGUAUUUUUAGCGAGAGACAAAUUACAUACACUGGUUUACAGCAAAAAUGUUCUGUUGUAUAUUGCAUGUGCACGCUUCUAGCUUGCAAUUACGACUCGCUUUAUUUCGGAAUUCUCUUAGCGUUGAUACAAGUUAUACUUAUCGAUAAGUACAUACUAUUAUCUAUGCUACAUCUCCCCUUUUUCAUAUAGCUUUCACACGGAGCUGCAUCGUUAUAUAUUGAUUAACAUUUCCUCUAUAAGUAACUCUAAUCUUAGUUUUUAAAAUUUAAAUUUGAUUUAAUUCAUUACUUUUUUUUUUUUUUUUUUCAAAUAUAGUAUGAAUCUGUAUUACAUAAUCGCUUAAAAAUAUAGUACAUUUUAUUGGUAGUUCAGACCACUACGAGUGCGUUUUGCCCUUGUACAUGCUUUGUCGUCAGGGAAGGAGUGAUGUACUGUAGGGUUUUCUACAAUAACACGUUUACCAGCCUUAUUAUGUAUCUCGAACGAUAGGCCGCACGAACGAUUCGUCUGUAGGCGAUAUCGUCACGGAUUGCAAUUUUGUAACUCUGUCGUUCGUCUUCGUCUUGUCUUUACGUCGAUUACGUUGCAAUCGUCUCGGUUACGUUGUAUGAUGUUGCCGGAUGAAAUUUUGAUGUACUUCCAAAGAGUUUUUCUUAGAUUUCUCAUAUUUUCAGCUUAUUUCAAUGCUUUUUAUUUUAAAUGGGCAACAUCGGAAUUGUUUACAUUUUGGUUUUGCUUAAAAGUGUUUUGGUUGUGUUGCGGAAAGAGAUAUAAGGAAAAUUAAUUUUUAAAAAUGUAUGCUGCUAUAGCGCUAAUGGACGCCGAGGAAUCCGAAGAAAGGGAAAGGCGAAUACAGAGGAGGAGAUUGCGAGACCACACCAAUGUAAUGGACCUACCUGAGACUGAAUUUGUUGCAAAUUUCCGAAUCAAUAAAGAAAUAUUCCAAUACAUAUUAAACGAAUUAAAAGAGCACAUGGCUCCAUCACAUAGAAGCACCCACCUAUCGCAGCAGCUAAAACUCGCGACUUUUUUAAGAUUUCUCGCCACCGGCAGUUACCAAAAAUCUGUUGGUAACGAAAAUAUUUCGUCGAUGGGGCAGUCAACUGCAGCCAACGUGAUCAGGGAAUGCCUAAAUAUUUUUGAGGACCAUUUUUGCCAGAAAUGGGUGAAUUUUAGGAGAAACAUCGAUGAGGAAAAUGCAGUUAAAGCACAUUUCUUUGAGAAAUACGGAAUACCUAGGGUUAUCGGUUGUGUUGAUGGAACACACGUUCGUAUUAAGUCGCCAGGAAGUGACAACCACCAUUUAUACCUCAACCGCAAGGGUUUUUACAGUCUUAAUGUAAUGGCGGUAGGUUAAUGAUUUACUAUCUUUACAAGUAUACAUAUACACAAACUGAGUUUCCUUACAGAUAUGCGAUCACAACAUGGUAAUCACAUUUGUUGACGCUAGGCAUCCAGGGGCGAAUCAUGAUUCAUUUGUUUGGAAUGUGAGUCACGCAGAACAGGAGCUAAAAUCUGAUUAUAACAAUGGAAAAAUCAACACAUGGCUACACGGUAAGUUUUAAAACUUAAAAAGGCCAUAAAACUAUUACUGACAAUGAAAAUUUUUGUAGGGGAUUCUGGUUACCCCUUGCAGCCAUACUUGAUGACGCCAUUCAGAAGCGCAGCCGAUGAAAUUCAACGAAUUUACAACACAAAGCACUCGAAAGCUCGUAAUGUAAUUGAGAGAUGUUUCGGUGUUUUGAAAAACCGAUUUCGAUGUAUAAUUGGCUCGAGAGGGCUACACUAUUCACCAGAAAAAGUUACACAAAUUGUAAAUGUGUGCUGUGCUAUUCAUAACGUUUGUAUAUUUUUCAAACAUCAAAUUCCAUUGGAGAGCCCAGAUAUGGAGAAUCUUGUUAGUUACGAAGACGAACUGGAAAACAGUGACAUUUCGAAUACAGCUGCCCUUAUUAGAAUGAGAAUAGCAGA